AUAAUCUUUUACCAAUGUUAAUAUAAAUUUGAGAUACUUAUUUUGAGACGUAGGAAGUAUAUUGUAUUUGAGCAACUGUCAAGAUGCAUGCAUGUUCCCAAAUUUUCAAGUUAGUUGCGGUCGUAGUGGACCUUGUGAGCUACUCUACUCCAUUCAUGGAGUGUAAUAUAUAUCUGGAAGGUGCAGCUUGCAGGCACGUCGACCCCAUGCACCUAUGCGUGGCCACUUCGAACCUGAUCUAUCUACACGCCUAAGCUAUAUACAACGACCGACCAAGGGUCAAGUGGGGUGCGCCGUCAUUGUCGCUCCCAUUGUCACAUCCAACAUACGCCGUGUACAUGUAUAUAACACACGCUUACACACACACAAAGACUAAUUUAGAAGCCGUAUAAAUGCUUGGGUCACUGAUACCGAUAAAUUCUCAGAAAAAUAGUUUUUUGCGGGAAAAUUGUCUGGUAUUCCCUCCAUUCACAAAUAAGUGUGCUCUAACUUUUAUCCUAAGUCAAAGUUUUAAAACUUUGACCAAUUUUAAAGGGAAAAUAGCAUCAUUUAUGACACUAAAUUAGUAUCAAUAGAUCUGUUUUGAAAUGCAU
RNAcentral lists this long non-coding RNA (593 nucleotides) under Hordeum vulgare. RNAcentral describes it as "long non-coding RNA (HVUL_LNC002515)". The record is from RNAcentral. Lineage: Eukaryota; Viridiplantae; Streptophyta; Magnoliopsida; Poales; Poaceae.